AUUGAACGCUGGCGGCAUGCCUUACACAUGCAAGUCGAACGGCAGCGGGCCCUUCGGGGUGCCGGCGAGUGGCGAACGGGUGAGUAAUGCAUCGGAACGUACCCGGCAGAGGGGGAUAACCGGCCGAAAGGCUGGCUAAUACCGCAUGAACUCGGAAGAGCAAAGCGGGGGACCUUCGGGCCUCGCGCCCUCGGAGCGGCCGAUGUCCGGUUGUGCUAGUUGGUGGGGUAAAGGCCCACCAAGGCGACGAUCGGUAGCGGGUCUGAGAGGACGAUCCGCCACACGGGGACUGAGACACGGCCCAGACUCCUACGGGAGGCAGCAGUGGGGAAUCUUGGACAAUGGGCGCAAGCCUGAUCCAGCAAUGCCGCGUGGGUGAAGAAGGCCUUCGGGUUGUAAAGCCCUUUCGGCGGGGAAGAAAACGGUCAGGCGAAUAGUCUGGCCGGAUGACGGUACCCGAAGAAGAAGCACCGGCUAACUACGUG
Molecule: ribosomal RNA, 485 nt
Filed under: uncultured bacterium
Lineage: Bacteria
Description: partial 16S ribosomal RNA
Rfam family: Bacterial small subunit ribosomal RNA
Source: RNAcentral